UCUUACCUGUAAGAAGACUCAAGAUUUGGCUCAAACGCAUGUGGGAAAGGAAAGCUUUUGUUGUGAAAAAAAAUGGUGUUGCAACACCAAGAGUAAUUGCAGAACUCGAGAGUGAAAUCAUACUGGAUUUGGAAUUUGAGAGUAAUUUAACUGUAAAGAAUCGAUUUCUAACAUUCUUAAUACACCACCCUAUCUGUUAACUAAGUGAACUUUAGGAAUUAAGACAAAUUGAAACCUAGAAAUUGCAGAAAUAGAUGCAGUAGCAGAACUAGCUUUGGGUUUCAAGUUUGCUGUGGUUUCUGGAUUAAAGGUGUUACAAAAGUGACCCUUGUAUGCUAAAAAUUAGAAAGGAACAAGAUAAAAGGGAAAGGAAACUUAACCUAAAUCGAAACAGAAGGAAAAGUGCUUCUAAUUUGUACACCAGCGAUCCCAAGACUCAUACAAUGAUUCUCCAUCUAUUUGUGCGAAUGUGGUGAUGUCAUUCCUUAAUCUAGCUGUCUUUGAAGGGGAAAAGUACUUGACUAGAAAGUGUUGAGCCAUGUCCUCCCAAGUAGUGAUGGAACCAGCUGGUAAUGAGAUCAACCAAGCCUUAGAUCUAUCCUUCAAUGAGAAAGGGGAAAGUCUCAAUCUGAUUGCAUCAUUCCUCACUUUAUUCUACUUGAAACUGUUGCAAAUCUCCAGAAAAUUAGCAAUGUGCUCAUUAGGAUCUUUAGCUGGGAACCCAAAAAAUUGUAUACUCUGCUGAAUCAUCUUGAUGAUGGCUAGCUUAAUCUCAAAGUUAUUAACUGCUACACCCAGCCUUGUGACACUUGGUUCAAUUCCAAUAAGGGAUGGAAUAGCAUAACCUAUCAUUGUGCACUAUCUUCGCCCUUCCGAUUCGUCACCCAUUGUU
RNAcentral lists this long non-coding RNA (892 nucleotides) under Carica papaya (papaya). RNAcentral's name for it is "long non-coding RNA (CPAP_LNC014006)". The record is from RNAcentral. Lineage: Eukaryota; Viridiplantae; Streptophyta; Magnoliopsida; Brassicales; Caricaceae.